Molecule: ribosomal RNA, 486 nt
Filed under: uncultured bacterium
Lineage: Bacteria
Description: partial 16S ribosomal RNA
Rfam family: Bacterial small subunit ribosomal RNA
Source: RNAcentral
AUUGAACGCUGGCGGCAUGCCUUACACAUGCAAGUCGAACGGCAGCACGGGUGCUUGCCCCUGGUGGCGAGUGGCGAACGGGUGAGUAAUACAUCGGAACAUGUCCUGUAGUGGGGGAUAGCCCGGCGAAAGCCGGAUUAAUACCGCAUACGAUCUACGGGUGAAAGCGGGGGCCCUUCGGGCCUCGCGCUAUGGGGUUGGCCGAUGGCUGAUUAGCUAGUUGGUGGGGUAAAGGCCUACCAAGGCGACGAUCAGUAGCUGGUCUGAGAGGACGACCAGCCACACUGGGACUGAGACACGGCCCAGACUCCUACGGGAGGCAGCAGUGGGGAAUUUUGGACAAUGGGCGAAAGCCUGAUCCAGCAAUGCCGCGUGUGUGAAGAAGGCCUUCGGGUUGUAAAGCACUUUUGUCCGGAAAGAAAUGCUUUGCGCUAAUACGGUCGGGGGAUGACGGUACCGGAAGAAUAAGCACCGGCUAACUACGUG